Molecule: ribosomal RNA, 348 nt
Filed under: uncultured Sphingobacteriales bacterium
Lineage: Bacteria; Pseudomonadati; Bacteroidota; Sphingobacteriia; Sphingobacteriales
Description: bacterial SSU rRNA
Rfam family: Bacterial small subunit ribosomal RNA
Source: RNAcentral
AAGGUGCUGCAUGGUUGUCGUCAGCUCGUGCCGUGAGGUGUCGGGUUAAGUCCCAUAACGAGCGCAACCCUUAUCGUUAGUUGCCAGCUGGUAAAGCAGGGGACUCUAGCGAAACUGCCACCGUAAGGUGAGAGGAAGGUGGGGAUGACGUCAAAUCAGCACGGCCCUUAUGUCCAGGGCUACACACGUGUUACAAUGGCCGGCACAGAGGGCAGCUACCUGGUGACAGGAUGCUAAUCUCGAAAACCGGUCUCAGUUCGGAUCGAAGUCUGCAACUCGACUUCGUGAAGCUGGAUUCGCUAGUAAUCGCGCAUCAGCCAUGGCGCGGUGAAUACGUUCCCGGGCCUU